AUUUCCCCUUGAGUUCCCUUUAACGCUUCAUUGUUCAUAAUUGGUUGUAUACUAUCUACCGAUAAAUCAAUAUAAUGAACACUGACGUGUUUGGGGGGACUCUAGGUGGUAU
RNAcentral lists this microRNA precursor (112 nucleotides) under Eutrema salsugineum. RNAcentral's name for it is "mir-395 microRNA precursor family". It matches the Rfam family "mir-395 microRNA precursor family". From Rfam's summary of the family: mir-395 was identified in both Arabidopsis thaliana and Oryza sativa computationally and was later experimentally verified. mir-395 is thought to target mRNAs coding for ATP sulphurylases. The mature sequence is excised from the 3' arm of the hairpin. The record is from Rfam by way of RNAcentral. Lineage: Eukaryota; Viridiplantae; Streptophyta; Magnoliopsida; Brassicales; Brassicaceae.